Molecule: ribosomal RNA, 281 nt
Filed under: uncultured bacterium
Lineage: Bacteria
Description: partial 16S ribosomal RNA
Rfam family: Bacterial small subunit ribosomal RNA
Source: RNAcentral
AACGAACGCUGGCGGCAGGCUUAACACAUGCAAGUCGAACGGGUGUAGCAAUACAUCAGUGGCAGACGGGUGAGUAACACGUGGGAACCUUCCUUAAGGUACGGGACAACUCAGGGAAACUUGAGCUAAUACCGUAUACGUCCGAGAGGAGAAAGAUUUAUCGCCUUUAGACGGGCCCGCGUCGGAUUAGCUAGUUGGUGGGUAACGGCCGUACCAACGGCGACGAUCCGUAGCUGAUCUGAGAGGAUGAUCAGCCACACUGGGACGUGAGACACGGCCCA